This 1290-nucleotide long non-coding RNA is filed under the name Mus spicilegus (steppe mouse). RNAcentral describes it as "lncRNA (ENSMSIG00000005640.1)". The record is from RNAcentral. Lineage: Eukaryota; Metazoa; Chordata; Mammalia; Rodentia; Muridae.
CGCUGAUAUAUUUGACACUCAUCAGUAUCAUGGAGUAACCAUAGUGCUUUAUAUCUCUGUAUGUCUUGCAACUAUGGUCAGUUCUCCAAAUAUUUCAACUAGAAACCAAGUCCAAUUCCCAAGGCUCAAAGAAGCAGGUGUCCAGAACCAGGGUGCAACAGACACGCCUAAUUUUGCUAUUCCAGGAACAGCUCAGCAAGAAGCAAACACCCUUUACCCGCGAGACACCAAGAGAAGCUUCCAGACUCUGCAACCUAGCUUUCUGGGGAAUACUUAGGGAGGCAAGAGAGGCAAGUAACACACAGCCAAAGCUAAGGUCCUGCACGCCUUGGCAAUAGGUCUGUCUGUUUCCCACCAGAGUUAGCUGGAGGACUGGGAUUUUCAUCCUACCUAACCCCCCUCCCCGGCAUUCUACCACGGGUGAUCUGGGCCAUGGUUCAUGCGUGAGCAGAUCUCCACCUCAGGGAGUGCGCUAUCCUCCACUCAGAUGCAGGUCCCAACGUUGCAUCUCGGAGGCCAAAGCUCUCUUUGCGUGUUCUGACGACCUUACCACUUUGUGACAGUCUUCAGGACGGUCUGCAGCCCUCCAGAGUGCUCAGCUGGGCUCCAUUUAUAGAUCCAUUUGCAGCACAAAAUGCUGUGCUCGAGCUUCCACAGAGCAAAUCUCUCAGGGCUGUCAAAGACUUUGAAGUGCUUAGAAAGAAAGAAGAGUUUUACAAUGGAGCACAGUGCUCUAGUUAGUUAAUGAUAUAGACGGACAAAACUGGUGCCUCGGUUAUUACUGCCUGCUCAAAGCAAUGCACAUUCAAAGAAUGUAUGCCUUUUAUGACGUAAGAUGCGAGAAACACAGACUGCCUACACACUGUAUGAACUACCUCUGCUUUACGAAGCCAUCUAAAGACAACGAUGAUUCAUUUACUGACCCUGUGUUCUUUGUCAGCUAAUUAUUCUACAAAAUUUACAACAUGUUCUUAAAAGUCAGCAGGACCUGACAAGUACACAAACCUCAAGGGCUGGGGAAAGACAGCAUGAUUUAUGGCUUCUCACUGCUUUCAUUCUGUGUCAGUGAGCUAACUUGCAAAGCCUGGAGAGAGGAAAACCUGUCUUUCACUUCUUUAAAAGGUAUAGAAAUUGAUGCUGAAGUUAAAUCUUUUCAUGGUAUAAAUCCACGGGGGAAAAAAUUAAACACCACUAUCUGGAUCAUUUGACUUAAAUCAACAGCAUGUACAAACAUGCUGUGAAAUUCAAGAAGAAUGCAUGUAAAUAAAGGUUUCCGUUGCUCAGAAUCCA